AUAGUGAUUAUUUCACCAAGUAUUAUUGAACUUGCACUUUAAAUAGCAGUUUUAAAGCGCUUUGGGAAACGUAGAGAAGGCUAUUAUGGAAUUUGACUCUGCAACCUGUCAAGAACCAGCGGAGGCCGUUUCUCAGUGUGUAGAGCUGCAGCAGUGAAAGCCACAGCUCCGUCAGCUGGACCUCAUUUGACACGAGUGGAUUAGAAGGAAAACUUUGACUGUGACUCAGCUGAGCCUCAAUCCGCCCUGCAUGAGACUGUAACGCAGAAUGACUGUGGGGCACAGUGUUCGCCAAGAAGCAUCAGAGGUCAGUUUGAGUUUCUCUUAAUUUCAUUCCGGAGGACGCUAUCUCAACACCAGUGUCAGAUGGCAGGACCCGCUGCAGAGAUGUUCUUUUUAAAUGAGCAGCGAAAUGAAAUUCCGCAUCAUUAGUGGACGGCGGAGCCUGAAGAGGAAGAGGAAGAGGAAGAGGAGCUGGAGAAGGAGAAGGGCUACAGCAUGAGAGUCUCUGCACCUACAUCGAUGCUUCCCCACAACUGGAAUGAAAAUGGUCGGCUGCAGUGUCUUACCGAGCAACGUUUGUUCUUCAGGCCGAAACUCUUUGUGUGCAGAGAGCGUCCUCGCCUCUCUUUGAUGCAAAGAUCAAACUCGACGUACAGUGACCUUUUUUCUCACACUUGCUGCAUGAAUUGUGUUUCGACACUGCUGUUUUUUUCCAAGGGAACAACAAGGACUCAUGUUAAUAUUAAAAGUGCCAAGGUUGAUGUUUAAAAAUAGCUUCAUGAGCCUAUUUUAUUGCAAAACCAGAAGGAAAAAAGAAGCGUAUUUAUUUUGUAAUUUUGUACAUUGUGUUUUGGAAGUUAUUGUCAAUGUUGCUGUUUAGGUGCCAUUUGUGAGACACCCUCCUCACAAGUCGCCUGUGUUGCACAAAAUGUGAUAAAUAGAAGCAUGGUAGCCAAAAGCAUGCAAAGGCUGUACCAGCACCACAGAAUCAAUAUUUAUAACUUACUAAUGGAAGGAAAAAUACACCAAUUUACUUAUUCAUUCUAACCUAUUCAUUAGGGAUAAUUUAGCUUUUCUCUCACUGUAAUUUCCAUAUAUUAGUUUUGAUCUCUAUUUGCAUGUUACCCCAUUGUUGUGCACACAAUUAAUUAAUUUUACUAUCACAAAGAAUAACAGGGCAGUGGGUUCCUGCACAUUUCUGUCAUAAUGAGCGCUAAUAAAACUUUGUACUUCAA
Molecule: long non-coding RNA, 1238 nt
Organism: Cottoperca gobio
Lineage: Eukaryota; Metazoa; Chordata; Actinopteri; Perciformes; Bovichtidae
Exons: 2
Source: RefSeq, a predicted model, not a curated record